Molecule: ribosomal RNA, 484 nt
Filed under: uncultured bacterium
Lineage: Bacteria
Description: partial 16S ribosomal RNA
Rfam family: Bacterial small subunit ribosomal RNA
Source: RNAcentral
AUUGAACGCUGGCGGCAUGCUUUACACAUGCAAGUCGAACGGCAGCGCGGGCUUCGGCCUUGCGGCGAGUGGCGAACGGGUGAGUAAUGCAUCGGAACGUGCCCAGUAGUGGGGGAUAGCCCGGCGAAAGCCGGAUUAAUACCGCAUACGACCUGAGGGUGAAAGCGGGGGACCUAACGACCUCGCGCUAUUGUAGCGGCCGAGGUCGGAUUAGCUAGUUGGUGGGGUAAAGGCUUACCAAGGCGACGAUCCGUAACUGGUCUGAGAGGACGACCAGCCACACUGGGACUGAGACACGGCCCAGACUCCUACGGGAGGCAGCAGUGGGGAAUUUUGGACAAUGGGGGCAACCCUGAUCCAGCCAUGCCGCGUGCGGGAAGAAGGCCUUCGGGUUGUAAACCGCUUUUGUUCGGGAAGAAAUCCUCUGGGCUAAUACCCCGGGGGGAUGACGGUACCGGAAGAAUAAGCACCGGCUAACUACGUG